This 603-nucleotide ribosomal RNA is filed under the name Triticum aestivum (bread wheat). RNAcentral's name for it is "partial small subunit ribosomal RNA". Lineage: Eukaryota; Viridiplantae; Streptophyta; Magnoliopsida; Poales; Poaceae. The record is from RNAcentral.
AUGGCACCCGCCGGGGCCGGCGGCGGCUUCAAGCUCUUCGGCAAGGUCAUCACGCAGUGCGUCGAGGGGACCCAGGCGUCGCCGUCGCCGUCGCCCGCGUUCGCCGCGCAGGACGAGGAGCGGCGGCUGCACGGCGAGACGGACCGGACGACGACGGCGGUCAAGCGGGAGGCGGCGGACAUGGACUCGUCGCCGCAGCAUCAGCAGCAGCAGGGGGCGGAGGCGUCGCGGCGGACGCAGCUGCAGGAGUCGGCGGAGGCGCGCGCGGCCGCGGCGCCGCUGCCGUGCCCGCGGUGCCGGAGCCGGGAGACCAAGUUCUGCUACUUCAACAACUACAACGUGAACCAGCCGCGCCACUUCUGCAAGGCUUGCCACCGCUACUGGACGGCCGGCGGCGCGCUCCGCAACGUGCCCAUCGGCGCCGGCCGCCGCAAGAACCGCCCGCUCGGCCCCAUCGCCACCGUCGCCGGCCACCACCACCACCACCACCAGCGCGCCGCCGCCGGCUUCGUCCUCGGCUUCCCCAGCCCUUCCUCCUCCCCCACCUCCCCACCGCCGGUGUACGCCGACCGGUGGCAGCUCGGCCCGGAUCGCCGGUUCUGA